AUUGAACGCUGGCGGCAGGCUUAACACAUGCAAGUCGAGCGGGGUGAUGGUGCUUGCACUAUCACUUAGCGGCGGACGGGUGAGUAAUGCUUAGGAAUCUGCCUAUUAGUGGGGGACAACAUCUCGAAAGGGAUGCUAAUACCGCAUACGUCCUACGGGAGAAAGCAGGGGAUCACUUGUGACCUUGCGCUAAUAGAUGAGCCUACGUCGGAUUAGCUAGUUGGUGGGGUAAAGGCCUACCAAGGCGACGAUCUGUAGCGGGGCUGAGAGGAGGGUCGGCCACACUGGGACUGAGAGACGGCCCAGACUCCUACGGGAGGCAGCAGUGGGGAAUAUUGGACAAUGGGGGGAACCCUGAUCCAGCCAUGCCGCGUGUGUGAAGAAGGCCUUAUGGUUGUAAAGCACUUUAAGCGAGGAGGAGGCUCUUUUGGUUAAUACCCAAGAUGAGUGGACGUUACUCGCAGAAUAAGCACCGGCUAACUCUGUGCCAGCCGCCGCAGUAA
Molecule: ribosomal RNA, 503 nt
Filed under: uncultured bacterium
Lineage: Bacteria
Description: partial 16S ribosomal RNA
Rfam family: Bacterial small subunit ribosomal RNA
Source: RNAcentral